GACGAACGCUGGCGGCGUGCUUAACACAUGCAAGUCGAACGAAAAGGCCCUGCUUUUGUGGGGUGCUCGUGUGGCGAACGGGUGAGUAACACGUGAGUAACCUGCCCUUGUCUUUGGGAUAACUUCAGGAAACUGGGGCUAAUACCGGAUAGGAGCUCCUGCUGCAUGGUGGGGGUUGGAAAGUUUCGGCGGUUGGGGAUGGACUCGCGGCUUAUCAGCUUGUUGGUGGGGUAGUGGCUUACCAAGGCUUUGACGGAUAGCCGGCCUGAGAGGGUGACCGGCCACAUUGGGACUGAGAUACGGCCCAGACUGCUACGUGAGGCAGCAGUCGGGAAUAUUGCACAAUGGGCGGAAGUCUGAUGCAGCAACGCCGCGUGCGGGAUGACGGCCUUCGAGGUGUAAACCGCUUUCGCCGGUGACGAAGAGUGAGUGACGGUACUGAAUAAAGAAGCACCGGCUAACUACGUG
RNAcentral lists this ribosomal RNA (468 nucleotides) under uncultured bacterium. Its description in RNAcentral is "partial 16S ribosomal RNA". It matches the Rfam family "Bacterial small subunit ribosomal RNA", at positions 28 to 507 of the family's 1533-position model. The record is from RNAcentral.